GAUGAACGCUGGCGGCGUGCCUAAUACAUGCAAGUCGAACGAGGUGCUUUUGUAGCAAUACGAGAGUAUCCUAGUGGCGAACGGGUGAGUAACGCGUGGGUGACCUGCCCCAAAGUGUGGGAUAACAGAUCGAAAGAUCUGCUAAUACCUCAUGUGGUUAUCGGGUUUAGAAAGCGAUAACUAAAGGAGUAAUCCGCUUUGGGAGGGACCUGCGUCCCAUCAGCUAGUUGGUGAGGUAAUGGCUCACCAAGGCGACGACGGGUAGGGGACCUGAGAGGGUGGCCCCCCACAAUGGAACUGAAACACGGUCCAUACACCUACGGGUGGCAGCAGUAGGGAAUAUUGCACAAUGGGCGAAAGCCUGAUGCAGCAACGCCGCGUGCGCGAUGAAGGUCUUCGGAUUGUAAAGCGCUUUUUCUGGGAGAUGAGAAAGGACAGUAUCCCAGGAAUAAGUCUCGGCUAACUACGUG
RNAcentral lists this ribosomal RNA (470 nucleotides) under uncultured bacterium. RNAcentral's name for it is "bacterial SSU rRNA". It matches the Rfam family "Bacterial small subunit ribosomal RNA", at positions 28 to 507 of the family's 1533-position model. The record is from RNAcentral.